CGUGUAGGCGGUGCGGUAAGUUGGGCGUGAAAUCCCCGAGCUUAACUCGGGUGGGCCGUUCAAGACUGCCGUGCUAGGGUGCGGGAGAGGGAAGUGGAAUUUCCGGUGUAGCGGUGAAAUGCGUAGAUAUCGGGAGGAACACCUGCGGCGAAGGCGGCUUCCUGGACCGUAACCGACGCUGAGGCGCGAAAGCUAGGGGAGCAAACAGGAUUAGAUACCCUGGUAGUCCUAGCCCUAAACGAUGAGCACUGGGUGUGGCCCCUCACGAGGCCGUGCCGAAGCUAACGCAUUAAGUGCUCCGCCUGGGGAGUACGGUCGCAGGCUGAA
This 327-nucleotide ribosomal RNA is filed under the name uncultured bacterium. RNAcentral describes it as "bacterial SSU rRNA". It matches the Rfam family "Bacterial small subunit ribosomal RNA", at positions 568 to 898 of the family's 1533-position model. The record is from RNAcentral.